UUUAGUUUGGUUACUUAACAGCUGGCUUAGCUUUUUUAAUUAAGUUUUUAAUUAUUAAUUGAUAGAUUGAUAAUGAUUCACUCUCUUUAAUUUAUUUGCUCUUUUCUCAAAAAUUGUGCUCAGUUUAACUAUGUUGUAAUUGUGUGUCAUUUUAUGGUUUAUUGUUACCAAGUUAUCAACAGUUUAGAAGUAAAGUUAAGAACAAGAACGGGUUAACUCAACGGAUUUUUGGCUUGAAGUUGACGUGUAUUGCUCUGAUUAUCAAUCAUAAAUAUGGUUAAACAUCAAGUGGAUCGUUAAUAUGGCCACAGAUAUUUAAGACAGAAAGGGGAAAAAAUUUCACCAGAAAUAUGAUGUUAAUGCUAUUUACGAGGACAAAAUGAUUUUCAUUUAGCUGGUUACCAUUAAUUUGAAUUGACUCCCUAAUGAGAUCCCAUUUCACGGUCUCAUCGAGUCUCACUUAAUACUAUUCAAUUCUCACAAGGAACUACGCAUUUUUCACUCAAUUUGGCACCUCAGGUUUACCUAUUUACUCCAACAAAUACCUCAGUUAAUUUUCAAUUUAUUACCAUUUUUCUCAAUUACCUUUAUAUUAGGAGCCAUUGUGAACGAUAUAUUGUUUGGAUAUACGUUAUGUGCAUUUAUUGUAUUCAAUUAUUCAAUUAAUGUGAGUCUCUCAACACACGAAAAGGCAGCAAUUUUCAUUUUACCUCUUCUCUUCAUCAUUUGAUUCAAUUUUACUGCAAAUGAUGGUAAAAGAGGAAAACAGAUGCAAAAAAACGAGACUUAACUUUGAUGAGAAAUUACAAGUUUCAUUUUAUUGGCAAGUAAUUAACAUCAAGUUUAACAUUUGAUUAAAUUUCAUUUAGUAUAUGUUUUAA
Molecule: long non-coding RNA, 881 nt
Organism: Tetranychus urticae (two-spotted spider mite)
Lineage: Eukaryota; Metazoa; Arthropoda; Arachnida; Trombidiformes; Tetranychidae
Source: RefSeq, a predicted model, not a curated record